AUAUGUCACCAUAAAAGUCAAGCCCAGGUAAUAACUGACACAGUCUCUCAAAGCAUUCACAGAAGGCUAAUUCACUUUAUUAAGAAACCCAUUGCUUUUUAUACUCUAGUUUAUUACAGGUGGACCUGAUUGGUCCUUUAAUUAAAGUACCAUCACCAUUGGCUAAUUAAGAAACCACCCUUUUGGUAAACAAAUCUCCAUAACACAUUCCACAGCACCAAGUGCAGCAAAUUAAGAUAAGAAUUGUUUCUCAUUCUUCUCUCUGAGUUCUCACAGCUUUCCCCAGGAUGAUGCUGGGAAAGUUGUGUCUGUUUCUCUCUGUGACCAGAGAGCUGCUGCCACAGGGAUACUCUGGAUGAGGGCUGGAGAUCUUCUGCCCUUCCCCUGGGAUGUCAUGCAGGAAAAAAUCCCUGGGCUUUAUCCUUUACAGGAGCAGCUGCAUGGAGCUGCAAUUCUUCCCAUGGCUGACCUGGCAGCAAAGCAUCUCAAGGUUUCAGAGUGCUUACACCACUGGAAUGAGAAGAAAGCUCCGAGCUGCUCUCGCAGCUGAGCUGCAGGCUCAGGCCAGCAUCACUGAGAAGAUGCUGUUUGAUUCACACUGUGAAGAUUCCUCUCGCCACUGAAGUGCUGAAGACUUAAUUAUGUUUUUAGAUGAUAGCUUAGAUCCAGGAGCACAAGCUGCAUUGUACAAACAAGGGAGCUGACUCAAGCAGACACCCGAGACAGCCCAGCCCAGCCCCCUGGCAGCGAUGAUUGCUUCCCCUGUGAGAUUAAAAAGUGAAGCAACAUGAAGGGUUAGCGUGUUCCACAAUGAAUCCUGAUUUAUCAAACAUGAUUAGUGGAUUAUGAAUAUGGAUGUGAUUUCUAAAACCAAAAGAAAGUUUGUGUGGUUCAUCCUUCUUUAAAAGAUUAAUUUAAACUCAAGGAGCUGUAACAGCCAUGCAAGCAGAUUGUGGGAAUGUCAGGAAAUAGAGGAAAGGAGUGAGGGAGGAGAUUUGGAAAAAUCAGGUGAGCUCUAGCAGGUCAGCAGUGUCCAGGGAUUUACUGGAGUCUUGUACAAUUAAAUUCAGUUUUAGAGGGAUAGAGUAUAUAUAGGGUUGUUUAAAAUCUGUCUAUAUAGAGCUGUCUAAAAUCUAUUUUGACAUUUGUUAUUAACCCUUGUGCUUUAAUUUACUCUCGGAUACCAGAAGCUCAGAUUUGAGGGAGGGAGUUCUAUUUCAGCCAUGCUAUUUGUCUUUUCUCCCUUUUCCCCCAGAGACAGCCCUCAAGGUGUGGCAUCAGUUCCCAUCUGCAGGAACCAUAGUGGGGGUUCUUUAUCACAGCCUUCCCAGAGGCCAGCAAUCUUCCUCCAGCUGCUUAAACUGCCCUUAGAGCUGUGUUACAGCAGAAAAGCAGCAUGAAGGAGCAGUUAGGGGCCAAGAAGAGGCCCAGUGUGGUUCUAGCAGGGCUGCCUGGAGAGGAAAAGAUGCUGUUUUCCUAGCAUGGAGCUUAGUGUGGAGAGUAAAGUUUCUCACUGAAGGCUGAUAACAGUAAAAACAUUUGAGGGCCAGUUACAAACCCACCACAUCCUGGACACUGGAGAGUUGCCCAUGGCUAAGGCCAAAAUUCCAGGUUUUCUGCCCAAAAGGAGAGUGAGUCUUGUGCUCAGAGCAGCAAACCACAGCAGUGCCCACGUCUGUGUGCCGUAGACAGGAAUGAAGAGCUGCUCCUCUGUGUGAGGAUCUCAUCCUUUCAGCAAUAUCCCGUUUUCCAGGAUGGGCUCUGGAAAGCAGACAAGGUCUCUGCUCAUCUCCAUGGUAUCCGAGUGUCUCCUUUAUUAUAGAAACAAACAACUCAUUUCAGAAACAAGUUAAGGUUGCUAAGUGACAACAAUGUACUUACUUAUCACAUCAUUUGCAAAGCCCUCACACUUAAAAACAGGGAAAUGAAUGAUUAAGGACUCCUGAAACCCUAUAUUGCCCACAUAAUAAAUAUAUGCUUUUAAGCAGAGUACAAAGAAGUGCACUUUUUAUUUUGACAAAACAACCUCAUGCUUAACCUCCUGUGAAUUUUUUUCUUUUUUUCCCCUCCUCUUUUAUGUGGCAUUUUUAUUUCAUUAAAUUUGGUGUACAAACAUUUUCUUUUAAAGAAUAUUCUUAGGUGGCAAAUACUAUUAGUUAGUUGAAGUAUUUCUAAGUAUCAUUACUGUUCAGUGAUACUGAAUUUUCAAUAAGUGAAUAUGUGCCUAUUUUUAUACUAAAAAAAAAUCCAUAAUGUUGUUUGUCUUCAAAUCAACAUUCAUUUGGUAGGUGUGUUUCACAUUUUUUAAAAAGGGUUUGUUUUCUGUUUAAAUUCAAAAAGUGAUGAUAGAAAAUUAUUUCUAUUGGGUCAGAAUUAAGAUUGUGGAGGAAUGUUACCACACGUUUCACUCUGUUUGACAGAACAAUUUAGGUGAAACAUAAGUUCAUCCAAAGUCAAGAAGAACUUUGACAUUGCUUUUGGAUGGGUCAGGAUUUCACCCUUUAUAUACUUUAUGUAGGGAAUAAAAGAUGCAUGAUGCUGUUAAUUAUUUAUCCCCUGGCUUUUAAGCACUUGUGUUUUGUACCUAAUGCGAUGGGGCUGAGGGAGCAAUGCUGGUACUUCAUUGUAACUUGUUGGAGGAACAAAACUGCUGUUUGUUUCAGGACUCCCAGCAUCAGUCAGGUGUUUAUUUCUGCCUUUAUGGUUUUUAUUUUUGCAUGGAUAAAUUGAAAUCCAGGGUUUUCCUUCAUUUGUAGCUUAGAAAGGUGUGAACCUAUGCCACUGGAGGAAGCACCCAUGUGCUGGGAGUUUGGGCCUGAAUGGGUUAAACUAAAAUUUUGGCCAACCCUUUUCGAGCGGAUAAUCACAGGAACCCACAAUCUUCUCCUUGCACUGCCUUUGAAAUUGCUGAGGAUGAGAUUUCCAUCAGGGACCUGGAUACAUCCAGACUUUUGGGCAGUGACAUUUUUCAUGCCUCUCUCUGAGCUCUGUGGUGGAGAUUUCUAAGCAGUCAGGAUGUAAAGGAGAGAGCAGAUUUUCAAAAUCACUCCCCUUCCCUCAUCCCUGCAAUUACUGCACUGGCAAGGAGAGCUGUGAAAGGAUUCAGUGCUCAUUGAGCUGUGCUCUCUUGAAAAAUGUGACCACUUGCUUGGAGGUCUAAAUGGGAGCUGGGUAAUGUCACUUUGGUUGCUGGAAGAAUUAGUCAAUGACAAGAGGGCAAUCACAGCAGCUCUUCUCCAUUAGCUUCAUCUUUCCCCCAACAAUAUCAAUUAUGGAAGCUCUAGCCCAAGGUUUCAAACAACAGCUAUUUCUCUACAAUGUUAUUAUUUUUUGCACAUAAAAAUGCCUUUUGCAUGAACCACUGUCAAGGUCUAAUCUGAUCUAUUUAUCUGUAUUUACAAGGCACUUAUCUUCUGUAGCACCUAAGAGCUCCACAUGAAUUAAUAGACAACACUCAUCCCAAUACCACUGAAAAAUCUCCCGGACUAAAAUCUUCCCUCUUGGAUCCCAGGAAAAUGAAAAGUGCUAUUAAAAGCAUAGCCAUGAAGGGAUCAAGACAAACACAAAGUGCCAAA
Molecule: long non-coding RNA, 3575 nt
Organism: Passer domesticus (house sparrow)
Lineage: Eukaryota; Metazoa; Chordata; Aves; Passeriformes; Passeridae
Exons: 2
Source: RefSeq, a predicted model, not a curated record